UAUGCGCAAAAAGAUUUAUUGGGACUUUAAUACACUGUCAGAAAGAAGGUUUGCACCCAACUGCAACCUUUUUAUUGCUAGGGUGCUACCAUUUAGUACAGUACCUUUACAGGUAUACAUAUCAUAAUACAAUGUUGUACCUUUUGGCAUACAUUACUGUACCUUAAGGAUCUAUUGUGUUCCUCUAACGGUACAGUUACAGUAACUGUUUUGUAACCCUACAAUUUAACUGGUAAAUAAAAUUGUUCCUUAACAAUAGGUUCUAUAAUAUUGUACUUCAAAAGGUACAACAUUUUAAUGUGUUGUUCAACAUUACCCAUAAAGAUACAAAAGGGUACUUUUGAGGGUAAGUUACCACAAAGAAAACAGGACAAUUUAGUGCCUUUUUUCUGACAGUGUACAGAUAAUGUUUUUAAUACCGUACAUAUUGUAUAUUGUAUUGCCUAACCUUAACCUCACAGAAACAGUUUACAAGUUUACAUGACAUUACACACAUUUCAUACACUUAAUAACGCUUUCAAAAAUAAGAAUGAUAGGUUACUCACUGUGCCUGGAAAUCCACAAGGGCUUGCAAGAUUAUCGAAUGAUGUCCUUUGCGGUUGAAAUAGUCUUUGGCAUAGCUUUGUGGUGCAGUUAUCGGAAUGUGCUACUCGUCGAUGGCACCUGCACAUUGAGGGAAACCCCAUAUUCGCUCAAAGCCAUCCCUGAUGUCCAGGAGCCUCUGGCCUGAGGGUAGAUGUAUGUGUUUCUGCAUGCAGGACAUGAUCGCGCUGCAUAUACCUCCCACAAGCAAAUGCAUACUGAAGGCUCAGUCCAAACAGGUGUGAGAUCGUGUUAUAUCCGCUGCCGGUAGCAAGAUACCACAAAGCUAUGGCAAUGCGCUUAUCGACAGGUAUAGCCUGGCGGAGAUGAGUUUCCCUGUUUAUUAACCUGCUUUGAAGGCUGACACAAAUGUGUCAUGUGUGUAGGUGUGUAUAUACAGUAUAUGAUAAAAUAUGCCAUGAUGUCAUUGUUUCAUAAGUGAUGCAGUUCAUACUAAUGAAAUCAGAAAUUCAACAGAGUUCAACUACGUAGUGCCAGUGAAGAGAAAACAAAUGUGUCAUAAUUUAUUAUUUAAGCCUUUAAAACAGGUCUAACAUGUAUUUAAUGACUUGCAGCUCAGACUGACAAGUGAAAUCACUGUUCCAUCCAUGGCAAAUUACAAACAAACGCUGAGUCUGCAGAGCCAGGAAUACCAAAUCCAGGGAAACCUUCUAGCAACAGUAUACUGUAAGUACUUAAACUCCACAAGUAGUAACUCUAUUUAGUAACUCUAUUUUAGACAUGUUUAGGUCCAUCAUUUAGUACAAACAAGAAAUAUGUUCCUUUGAACCACUUUCCUGUGACAUGUUAGUUAAAGUCUGAAACUUUUGGUGUGCAUCUGAAAGAGUCUGAGCCUUGCUGCAUAUAGCAUCUGAUCCUUCUCAUAAAUUUCCAUUUUAGUCAUUUGCCAAAUUAUUCUAAUUCCCACCACUUUUUUCCUCUUUGCAGAACACAUAUCAUCAUUAACCCUAAUUAUCAUAUGUUGGGCUUUUAUGGCCAUUUGCUGACCACAACAAUGUCUGACUAUUCAAUUCAAUUAAAAUUUAUUUGUGUAAAUGUUUACAAUUGACAUUGUCUCAAAGCAGCUUUACAGAACAUAAACAUAGAACAAAAUGUUAUUAUAAAGAAUAAUAUAAAGAUUAAUAUGAUACAAAAUUCAAAUUCAAAUUAAUAUUAGAUAUCUAUUUUAAUGCAUCUGUGUUUAUCCUCAGUGAGCAAGUGUUACCAGAGUGACAUAUAAAUAAUGUUAUUAAUAUAAUAACAUACAGAUGAAUAAAUAAAACGAUUGGAAACUACUUAAAAUAAGUGUAAUUACAGAGAUAAUAUUUAUUUUAUAUAAAUAUAUAUAUAUCUACUUGAUUAUCAAUGUGACCAAUCGCGAGUGGUUUUUUAACCCGAGCAUGAGCCAAUGAGAGCGCAGAAUGUAGCGGAGUGGAGAAAUUGGUUUCCGGUUUUGCAUGAGGUUUGCUUGUGGUAUUAGAGGCAGCCCUCGUUAGCGUGCAUAGAUGCAGAGGACUGCGGUGUUUGCUAAAACUCCGGAAAACAGAAAUAAAGAAAUAACCUUUUUGAUGUGCUUUAUCGACGGAUUGAUGUUAAAGAAAAGGAUUAAAUCGGAUGUGCUGUAGCUGCACCGUUUCUGGAAAUUUCAAUAAGUUAACGAGCUCCUUGGUCAGGUUUUUGUUUUUUUGUUUUGUUUUUGUUUUCUUGUUCUGAUGUUCGAAGGCAUGUGUUCUGGAUUCGUCCCGGCCUUCCAGUGGUUUUGAGGAGGGUUUGGACUGGCGAGCCUCCCUUGAGUUGUUCUUGGACUUUCUGUGGAAACACCAGUUUUUUUUCUAUACUCUGCGAAUGGUAGGAAAUCAAAUAAUUUCUUUUUCCUCGUUCGGAUGAAGACAUAUUUUUUCCCCUCAUCGACAGUGAAAAGACAUUUGUUUAGAGAUCAAAGGACAUUUUAUUUCAUUGAGAAGUGUCAGUUUUUUUUGUGUGUUGAUAAGUGAGAUGUAUUGGGGGUUUUUUUUUUAUGCUUGAAUAUUUAUUUUUUGUUAUUGAAAGUUAUUGAACAAAGAACUUACUUUGUUGAAGAUCAAUGGGAAAAUUUCCCAAAACCUGUUAAAACACAAGUAAUAACAAAAUUCAAAAAUAAUUUCAUUUGUGAGAUUAUAUAUUUUUUUUGUUUUAAUUAUUUCACAUUGCUUCAAUUUAACCUCUUGGACAUUGUUAAAUAAACACAUUGUAUGUUCAAUCCA
Tachysurus fulvidraco (yellow catfish) is the source of this 2825-nucleotide long non-coding RNA. RefSeq lists it as uncharacterized. The record is from RefSeq and is a predicted model, not a curated record. NCBI's taxonomy places the organism in Eukaryota, Metazoa, Chordata, Actinopteri, Siluriformes, Bagridae. The transcript has 2 exons.